GGGCGGAUAGCUCAGUUGGUUAGAGCGUCGGUCUCACAUACCGAAGGUCAGAGGUUCGAAUCCUCUCCCGCCCA
This 74-nucleotide transfer RNA is filed under the name bacterium. RNAcentral's name for it is "tRNA-Val". It matches the Rfam family "tRNA". Rfam says of the family: Transfer RNA (tRNA) molecules are approximately 80 nucleotides in length. Their secondary structure includes four short double-helical elements and three loops (D, anti-codon, and T loops). Further hydrogen bonds mediate the characteristic L-shaped molecular structure. tRNAs have two regions of fundamental functional importance: the anti-codon, which is responsible for specific mRNA codon recognition, and the 3' end, to which the tRNAs corresponding amino acid is attached (by aminoacyl-tRNA synthetases). tRNAs cope with the degeneracy of the genetic code in two manners: having more than one tRNA (with a specific anti-codon) for a particular amino acid; and 'wobble' base-pairing, i.e. permitting non-standard base-pairing at the 3rd anti-codon position. RNAcentral also lists the same sequence under 4 other names. The record is from RNAcentral.